GAUGAACGCUGGCGGCGUGCCUAAUACAUGCAAGUCGAGCGAACAGAUGAGGAGCUUGCUCCUCUGACGUUAGCGGCGGACGGGUGAGUAACACGUGGAUAACCUACCUAUAAGACUGGGAUAACUUCGGGAAACCGGAGCUAAUACCGGAUAAUAUAUUGAACCGCAUGGUUCAAUAGUGAAAGACGGUUUUGCUGUCACUUAUAGAUGGAUCCGCGCCGCAUUAGCUAGUUGGUAAGGUAACGGCUUACCAAGGCAACGAUGCGUAGCCGACCUGAGAGGGUGAUCGGCCACACUGGAACUGAGACACGGUCCAGACUCCUACGGGAGGCAGCAGUAGGGAAUCUUCCGCAAUGGGCGAAAGCCUGACGGAGCAACGCCGCGUGAGUGAUGAAGGUCUUCGGAUCGUAAAACUCUGUUAUUAGGGAAGGACAAAUGUGUAAGUAACUAUGCACGUCUUGACGGUACCUAAUCAGAAAGCCACGGCUAACUACGCG
Molecule: ribosomal RNA, 497 nt
Filed under: uncultured bacterium
Lineage: Bacteria
Description: partial 16S ribosomal RNA
Rfam family: Bacterial small subunit ribosomal RNA
Source: RNAcentral